GACGAACGCUGGCGGCGUGCUUAACACAUGCAAGUCGAACGGAAAGGCCCUGCUUUUGUGGGGUGCUCGAGUGGCGAACGGGUGAGUAACACGUGAGUAACCUGCCCUUGACUUUGGGAUAACUUCAGGAAACUGGGGCUAAUACCGGAUAGGAGCUCCUGCUGCAUGGUGGGGGUUGGAAAGUUUCGGCGGUUGGGGAUGGACUCGCGGCUUAUCAGCUUGUUGGUGGGGUAGUGGCUUACCAAGGCUUUGACGGGUAGCCGGCCUGAGAGGGUGACCGGCCACAUUGGGCCUGCGAUACGGCCCAGACUCCUACGGGAGCCAGCAGUGGGGAAUAUUGCACAAUGGGCGGAAGCCUGUUGCAGCAACGCCGCGUGCGGGAUGACGGCCUUCGGGUUGUAAACCGCUUUCGCCUGUGACGAAGCGUGAGUGACGGUAAUGGGUAAAGAAGCACCGGCUAACUACGUG
RNAcentral lists this ribosomal RNA (468 nucleotides) under uncultured bacterium. RNAcentral's name for it is "partial 16S ribosomal RNA". It matches the Rfam family "Bacterial small subunit ribosomal RNA", at positions 28 to 507 of the family's 1533-position model. The record is from RNAcentral.